Molecule: ribosomal RNA, 437 nt
Filed under: uncultured Anaplasma sp.
Lineage: Bacteria; Pseudomonadati; Pseudomonadota; Alphaproteobacteria; Rickettsiales; Anaplasmataceae
Description: bacterial SSU rRNA
Rfam family: Bacterial small subunit ribosomal RNA
Source: RNAcentral
AACGAACUCUGGCGGCAAGCUUAACACAUGCAAGUCGAACGGUCCGUAUACGCAGCUUGCUGCGUGUAUGGUUAGUGGCAGACGGGUGAGUAAUGCAUAGGAAUCUACCUAGUAGUAUGGGAUAGCCACUAGAAGUGGUGGGUAAUACUGUAUAAUCCCUGCGGGGGAAAGAUUUAUCGCUAUUAGAUGAGCCUAUGUCAGAUUAGCUAGUUGGUGGGGUAAUGGCCUUCCAAGGCGGUGUUCUGUAGCUGGUCUGAGAGGAUGAUCAGCCACCCUGGAACUGAGACACGGUCCAGACUCCUACGGGAGGCAGCAGUGGGGAAUAUUGGACAAUGGGCGCAAGCCUGAUCCAGCUAUGCCGCGUGAGUGAGGAAGGCCUUAGGGUUGUAAAACUCUUUCAGUAGGGAAGAUAAUGACGGUACCUACAGAAGAAGUCC